Molecule: ribosomal RNA, 513 nt
Filed under: uncultured bacterium
Lineage: Bacteria
Description: partial 16S ribosomal RNA
Rfam family: Bacterial small subunit ribosomal RNA
Source: RNAcentral
GACGAACGUUGGCGGCGUGCCUAAUAUAUGCAAGUCGAGCGGACUAAUGGGAGCUUGCUCCCGUUAGUUAGCGGCGGACGGGUGAGUAACACGUGGGCAACCUACCUGUAAGACUGGGAUAACUUCGGGAAACCGGAGCUAAUACCGGAUGACAUAAAGGAACUCCUGUUCCUUUAUUGAAAGAUGGCUUCGGCUAUCACUUACAGAUGGGCCCGCGGCGCAUUAGCUAGUUGGUGAGGUAACGGCUCACCAAGGCGACGAUGCGUAGCCGACAGGAGAGGGUGAUCGGCCACACGGGGACUGAUGCACGGCCCAGACUCCUACGGGAGGCAGCAGUAGGGAAUCUUCCGCAAUGGACGAAAGUCUGACGGAGCAACGCCGCGUGAGCGAGGAAGGCCUUCGGGUCGUAAAGCUCUGUUGUUAGGGAAGAAUAAGUGCUAGUUGAAUAAGCUGGCACCUUGACGGUACCUAACCAGAAAGCCACGGCUAACUCCGUGCCAGCCGCCGCAGUAA